GCAGAUGGAAAUGAUUUAUCAACUGCUAUCGGCAAGAAAGAUGUAGAUUGGAGAGAAAGAUGGCUUUUCAACACAUUCUCUUUUCUAAAAAAGGGUUAUUGAUGUCAUCGAGGCAAACACAGAUGAUUUCGGACCUUUGAGUCUUGAUUCAUCUUGAAAAAAACCUCUUAGCUUCUUGAAAAUUUACCGAGCAAAAACAUGUGAUCAAUAAUAAUUCCAGUCACGCUGAGAACUGAUGCGCCUGAAAAUUAGCGAGGACGAAAUGAGAGAUAAAAGGUGUGAAACUCGAUUUAGUGAAAAACGAUAAC
This is a long non-coding RNA of Helianthus annuus (common sunflower), 308 nucleotides long. RefSeq lists it as uncharacterized. NCBI's taxonomy places the organism in Eukaryota, Viridiplantae, Streptophyta, Magnoliopsida, Asterales, Asteraceae. The transcript is spliced from 5 exons. The record is from RefSeq and is a predicted model, not a curated record.